This 2128-nucleotide long non-coding RNA is filed under the name Bemisia tabaci. Its description in RNAcentral is "lncRNA ENSSSA1NGG010688". The record is from RNAcentral. Lineage: Eukaryota; Metazoa; Arthropoda; Insecta; Hemiptera; Aleyrodidae.
GCAGCUUCAAAUACCGGCGAAAAACUACGAAAACAUACCACCUUCAAAGAUGUCACUAAGACGCGCGAAUUCAUCGACAAAUCCAUGCUGAUCAAAUUCAUUCUGGGAAACCACUGGCACAUCUACAUCGAGGCGCCUCCUGGUUUCGGCAGGACCACAAACCUGCGGAUGCUCCAGGAGUUCUUUUCCGUAGAGGUCGACUCAAACGGAUUCUUUGUCAACGCGAAAAAGAUCCUAAAAACUGACGAAACCUUCGAAGAUAUUUUACGGAGGCGUAAAAGAACAUCUGCGGAACAUCCUCGGAACACCUCAACAGAACGUGUAUCUUUCGAAACUGCCACCGAAAGCAUAUCUGUCCUCGUGAAUGACCCGGAGCCUUUUAGCGCCUCCACAAACGCUUUGACAAACUAUGAUACCUUCUCGAAGCCGCCCCUAAGAAUACUGAAAGAAUCACCGGAGUUGUUCGAGACCCACUUCGCUCGGCAUCCUGUCCUCUUCAUCGAUUUUGGAAAACUAUCCACCAAGUCCUACAACGACUACGUACGCACUUUUCAAAUAAUGGUCGCGAAGCUCUUCGAUCAAUCUAAAUACUUAUUAAAAAGUCACAGGCUGACCAAGGGCAAUAAGGAUGAAUAUUUACGCUUUCGUGAUCAAGUUAUGAAACUGGGCUUAGACGAGGUCGCGCACGGAGGAGAGAAAUUGAGUCAACUCUUGUCAGCACAUCAUCACCGAAAAGCGAUAGUUCUAGUGGACAACUUUGACGCACCCAUUUGCAAGGCCCUCUUGGCGCCACAUCUUGACCUAAAAAGCUAUAGGGGAAUUGUGUGGAGUAUUUCCCGGAUGAUCAAAGGACUGGUAAAAAGUAGAUUCGUCCAUCGGACUGUGGUGACAGGCAGUCUCCGAAUCAAAAUUACAGAUGGAUUGAUGCAUUUCCCCCUCUUUGAUGACGAAUCUUUACGUCGGUAUUACGGCCUCACUGACUAUGAUGUUUUAGAACUUGCUAAACGCUCUAGACUGACAAAUAUCGCAAACAUCAGGAAGUGGUACGGUGGCUACAAAGCAGCGAGCAUAGGUCAGAAUAUGUACAACACACGCUCAACGAUGAGUUACUUCAUGAUGGGUGUGCUCAAAUCUUACCGAUGUGAGUCCAUUAAGUUCAAAACCUUAAAAGCUCUACUGGAUUUUGAAAAAUUGGGCCGAGACGUAGAAGAUGCUUUUGAAGAUAAAACGCGACUCUUUAUCCGACCGCAGAUUCCGGAGAAUCUUUUCGACCUUCUGCGACGAGAAUUAUUUUCCUCCAAUCAAACCGUCCUCCAUAGGAGUCUGGUCCUACAGAUUCUUCUCGACUAUGGCUUUUAUACCAUUCAAGAUGGAAAUAAACUCCACGUACCGAACUUCGAAGCAACGCUGGACAUCAAAAACUUAAUAUUCGACCGUGGAUACUACAUCAACAAACUAAACAUCCCUGACCAGAUUAUUGACAACUUUGUGCAGAGCAUCGAACGCCUGACUGAAGAGAAAACGUCUUUUGACAACUUUUUUGCAGCCAUCACAGAACUCUUCAAAAACCGCGUGCCACAAGGUACACGAGAAUUGGCGCACACCUUGGUCACGUUAGUGGCUGAUGCUCGCAAGUUUAGCUUGUUACGUGGUCAAGAAGCUCCGGAAAAUGGCCGGCAGGAUGUCCUAGUGAAGCGAUCUUCGGAAACGGGAAUUGUGAUCGGGAUCCUGGUUGGGUCGAUUAAUGAAGAGGCGCUAAAACCUGUUUUUAACAAGAGUUUACAAGUGUUUUCAGACUGUAAAUUGACAGUUGCCAUCUUGUUAGGUUUAAAACCGCAAGGACCGACCGGAGAUCUGGACAUUUUGUACGCAUUUGACAAUCGAACUGUCACAAUGGACACAAAACAUCAGUGAGAGGCAACGCCCCAUUCCGCCUCGGUCUAUUUUUUGAAUAAUACCCAUUUGAGAGGGAAAGGUGAACGGAGCGUUUUGUAUAAUUUUGGAGGAGUGUAGACUUGUGCUGCCAGUGCCUUACAACGAGGCAAGAAUGCAAUGGAGAUGGCAAUGAAAAUGAGAACCCAAGAAACGCCUUCAAAUGGAUGAUUAUACAUCACAGCACAACUAUCAA